CGACCGGCGCACGGGUGAGUAACACGUAUCCAACCUGCCGUCUACUCUUGGACAGCCUUCUGAAAGGAAGAUUAAUACAAGAUGGCAUCAUGAGUCCGCAUGUUCACAUGAUUAAAGGUAUUCCGGUAGACGAUGGGGAUGCGUUCCAUUAGGCAGUUGGUGGGGUAACGGCCCACCAAACCUUCGAUGGAUAGGGGUUCUGAGAGGAAGGUCCCCCACAUUGGAACUGAGACACGGUCCAAACUCCUACGGGAGGCAGCAUG
Molecule: ribosomal RNA, 263 nt
Filed under: uncultured bacterium
Lineage: Bacteria
Description: partial 16S ribosomal RNA
Rfam family: Bacterial small subunit ribosomal RNA
Source: RNAcentral